Molecule: ribosomal RNA, 409 nt
Filed under: uncultured Nitrososphaerota archaeon
Lineage: Archaea; Thermoproteati; Nitrososphaerota
Description: bacterial SSU rRNA
Rfam family: Archaeal small subunit ribosomal RNA
Source: RNAcentral
CUGGUGUCAGCCGCCGCGGUAAUACCAGCACCCCGAGUGGUCGGGACGAUUAUUGGGCCUAAAGCAUCCGUAGCCGGCCUUACAAGUCCUCCGUUAAAUCCAGCUGCUUAACAGAUGGGCUGCGGAGGAUACUAUAAGACUAGGAGGCAGGAGAGGCAAGCGGUACUCAGUGGGUAGGGGUAAAAUCCGUUGAUCCAUUGAAGACCACCAGUGGCGAAGGCGGCUUGCCAGAAUGCGCUCGACGGUGAGGGAUGAAAGCUGGGGGAGCAAACCGGAUUAGAUACCCGGGUAGUCCCAGCUGUAAACGAUGCAGACUCGGUGAUGGACUAGCUUUAUGCUGGUCCAGUGCCGCAGGGAAGCCGUUAAGUCUGCCGCCUGGGUAGUACGGUAGGAAGACUGAAACUUAAAG